Molecule: long non-coding RNA, 584 nt
Organism: Platichthys flesus (European flounder)
Lineage: Eukaryota; Metazoa; Chordata; Actinopteri; Pleuronectiformes; Pleuronectidae
Exons: 3
Source: RefSeq, a predicted model, not a curated record
GAUCUCCUCCCCCCCUUUUUAAGAAACUGUGCCAGGGGACUAGAUCUGGACCCAUGCUUUUUGGUGCAUUUUUUCUGUGGGUUAAACACUUUUAAUAACAUUCUGGAGACCUCCCGGACAAACUCUAUCUCGCACUGGGACGAGCACACCGGAGCUCCUCUUUUUUGUAUCAGUGUCCCCACCAGGCACCAGGGCACCAGAGGCCAAAGACCAUCUCGCUGGAGCACAGCUGGUAAAACCUCACCGAACAAUCCAGCACCCCAGCUCGGCAAAGGACGGCCAGGAGCAGAUCAACCAGACCACUGUUGGACCUCCAUGAGACCUUCACCGACGCUGCCAGGAGCAGGUUGGGGAGUUCCCUCUCCACCAUCCCGGAAUUAUCCGACGAGGACGAAUUUCCACCACUGCCAGCCUCCAGUGUUGCCGGUGCCCGGACUGGCACGAUUGGACAAGAAGGAGCCCCGACCGCAUUAGCAGGAGGGUCAUCACACAUGAUGAGCGGCGUAAUAAAGGCUAAUGUAGCCCACAACACCGUAUCUGAGACCUCCUCUCAACAACUGCGCCCGGGGACUCCGCCUCCCGGU